GACGUAGGGGGCAAGCGUUGUUCGGAAUCAUUGGGCGUAAAGCGCUCGUAGGCGGUCGGUUAUGUCGGAUGUGAAAAUCCAGGGCUCAACCCUGGACCUGCAUUCGAAACUGAUCGACUUGAGUCCAGAAGAGGCAAGUGGAAUUCCUGGUGUAGCGGUGAAAUGCGCAGAUAUCAGGAAGAACACCAGUGGCGAAGGCGGCUUGCUGGGAUGUGACUGACGCUGAGGAGCGAAAGCUAGGGGAGCAAACAGG
RNAcentral lists this ribosomal RNA (253 nucleotides) under uncultured bacterium. RNAcentral's name for it is "partial 16S ribosomal RNA". It matches the Rfam family "Bacterial small subunit ribosomal RNA", at positions 524 to 776 of the family's 1533-position model. The record is from RNAcentral.